RNAcentral lists this unclassified non-coding RNA (1724 nucleotides) under Leishmania donovani. RNAcentral describes it as "gene:unknown". Lineage: Eukaryota; Euglenozoa; Kinetoplastea; Trypanosomatida; Trypanosomatidae. The record is from RNAcentral.
CCCCAUUUACGGCUGUUGUUUGCUCUUUAACAUGUGUGUGUGUGCGCGCGUGUUUAUUUCUCUGCGGCGCAGCACGCGCUGAGCGCCACACCACGCCCCACGACCGACCCUGUCUCAAGCUCUACUCCCCCACCCCACACAGCCGCCCCCCAAUCAUGCCGGUCGCCACGCCUGGUGCAUCCCCCCUCCCCUCUCCCUCGGGGUGGCACGCAGGCUCCUCCCCACACAUCAGUGGGCCGUGUGAGGCAUACGCUCGAGUCACCCUGACACGUGUUGCCCAUCGUAUGGAUGGCGCAGACGUGUUCACUGUCGUCGGCCGUCCCGACGCACCGCCAGAGGUGGGUUCUGCAUUGGCAGAGGUAGAAGGGGGGGGCUGUUUGGCCUCCCUAACAGAGAGAGAGUGGCGGGUUGUGUGGGUGCACGAGGCCCUGAGACACCACGCUCUGAGAGGUGUGCGUAUGUGUGCCCUCCCGUCACCAGAGGGGGAGACGCGAUGAGGAGCACAGCGGAACAUACCGUCGCGCACUCACCCAACGACGUGCGCCGUCGAACUGUGGGGUGGAUGAGGCGCUGCUGCGUGUGGUGCGGCUGCGCGAGCAGCUGCGGGGAGCUGCGCCCGGUGGUGCGCUACCGCCUGCGCAUGCGGUGCUCGCCGGCGGACUGCUGCGCAUCGGUGUGCGAGAUAGGGUGGACAGGGAAGUGCUGCGGCUGCAGGAGCCCGUCUUCUUCGACGACGUUGUCGAGCGGCACCUGAGCGGCACCCCGGCUACUGCAGAGAGUCUCAGGCGUGGCGAGCGGGCCGGCGACUCGCGGGAUUCUGCGAGCCCCAGAGGCCACAAUGCAGGCGGCCGUGCCUGUAGCAAGGGGAAAAGGAGCGCAACAGCGAUGAUAGCGACGGUGUUGCCAGGGAGGAGCGCAGCGCAAAUCGACGCCUCGGUCGCUACGGGCUCGGAUUUCUGGCAGACUGGCAUCGCCUGAACGUCGCGCUGACGCGUGCGCAGGAUUUGUGCAUGUGUUUUGCGAGCCGCGACACCGUGCGUGCCGUGGGCAUGGCGGCCAUGGCGUCUGCGGCGCCGGCAAAUGCAGUGACCACGGUGGAUAGCUCGGCGGAGGAAGUGGAGCACCAGCUAGAUGCGGACGAUGAGGACCCCCUGGCGCUGUAUCGCAUGCUGCAGUUGCAUCAGCAUCAGCGGCUUACCUUGUUUCGAGUGAGGAGAUGCAGCGGGUGAAGAAGUGAACGUUGCGCGCGAGGUGUGCCGCCCACGUCUUGAACGGAUGCGUCCGCCGCAUUCUGCGCGUGUGCGAGUACGUGUCUCUGUGUAAUCCCUUCGCCUCUCUCUAAUGGCGGAUGUGUGCUGAUGCGUGUGCGAGGCCCUCCCUUCAACGGCAUCCGUCAGCAGAUGGAGUGGGGGACGGCCCCCCCCGCUCGGUCUCGCCCACCGUCACCGCUACAGAAACGAAGAACCAGACAGCAUACAAGCAUGCACAUGUGUGUAUAUGUGCGCUCCUCGCCGCACCGCACCGCACCCCCUCUCUCACUCUUACAUGGGUCUGCCCUCUGGUAGCCACGCACGUGCGUGCGUAGUUGUCAGGCUUCCCCGCGCUCGUCCGGGAGACUGUCGAAGCGCGUAUGGGGGGCGCCGUCUCUCCAUCUCUGCGUCUCCUCCGCGCCACGCCCCUCGCCAUUCCUCUCCUCUCACCCGUCUUCUUCGCCGCCCCCGCAG